Molecule: ribosomal RNA, 253 nt
Filed under: uncultured bacterium
Lineage: Bacteria
Description: partial 16S ribosomal RNA
Rfam family: Bacterial small subunit ribosomal RNA
Source: RNAcentral
UACGGAGGUUGCGAGCGUUGUUCGGAAUUACUGGGCGUAAAGGGAGCGCAGGCGGCCAGGUUAGUCUAAAGUGAAAGCCCGGGGCUCAACCUCGGAAGUGCUUUGGAUACUGUCUGGCUUGAGUACGCGAGAGGUGAGCGGAAUUCCAGGUGUAGCGGUGAAAUGCGUAGAUAUCUGGAGGAACACCCGUGGCGAAAGCGGCUCACUGGCGCGAAACUGACGCUGAGGCUCGAAAGCGUGGGGAGCGAACGGG